This 497-nucleotide ribosomal RNA is filed under the name uncultured bacterium. RNAcentral describes it as "partial 16S ribosomal RNA". It matches the Rfam family "Bacterial small subunit ribosomal RNA", at positions 28 to 507 of the family's 1533-position model. The record is from RNAcentral.
GAUGAACGCUGGCGGCGUGCCUAAUACAUGCAAGCCGAGCGAGCGGACGAGAAGCUUGCUUCUCUGAUGUUAGCGGCGGACGGGUGAGUAACACGUGGAUAACCUACCUAUAAGACUGGGAUAACUUCGGGAAACCGGAGCUAAUACCGGAUAAUAUUUUGAACCGCAUGGUUCAAAAGUGAAAGACGGUCUUGCUGUCACUUAUAGAUGGAUCCGCGCUGCAUUAGCUAGUUGGUAAGGUAACGGCUUACCAAGGCAACGAUGCAUAGCCGACCUGAGAGGGUGAUCGGCCACACUGGAACUGAGACACGGUCCAGACUCCUACGGGAGGCAGCAGUAGGGAAUCUUCCGCAAUGGGCGAAAGCCUGACGGAGCAACGCCGCGUGAGUGAUGAAGGUCUUCGGAUCGUAAAACUCUGUUAUUAGGGAAGAACAUAUGUGUAAGUAACUGUGCACAUCUUGACGGUACCUAAUCAGAAAGCCACGGCUAACUACGUG